AGAAUCAACGCUGGCGGCGUGCCUAACACAUGCAAGUCGAACGCGAAAGGGGAGCAAUCCCUGAUUAGAGUGGCAAACGGGUGAGUAACACGUGGGCGACCUACCUCAGAGUGGGGGAUAACCUUCCGAAAGGAGGGCUAAUACCGCAUGACAUGCCGUGUUUGGAUACACGGACAUCAAAGCCGGGGAUCGCAAGACCUGGCGCUUGGAGAGGGGCCCGCGUCCGAUUAGCUAGUUGGUGAGGUAACGGCUCACCAAGGCUCCGAU
RNAcentral lists this ribosomal RNA (267 nucleotides) under uncultured soil bacterium. RNAcentral's name for it is "partial 16S ribosomal RNA". It matches the Rfam family "Bacterial small subunit ribosomal RNA", at positions 26 to 280 of the family's 1533-position model. The record is from RNAcentral.